CACCAAACAUAUUGUUUCCUAUGAGGUCCUUUAUUUUUUCUCCACACAUGUCCAAAUACAAUAAUAAUAUCAUAUUUGGAUAUCAUCCAUUUGUUCACAGACUGCAUCAUGGUAAAACAAAACAAGAUAGAUCACAUUCUAUUCUCUUAAAACAUGCAGACGUUAAAUUAACUAUUUAGCAUAAUCCUACUUGGUAUAACAUCAGCAACAACUUAAGAGAUUUUAGUCAAAAAAUAGAAGUGGCAAUGAAUAUGUAGACAUAUUUAACCUCCAAUUAAGGAAAUGCAAAUAUAGCACAACCAUAAAAUAUCAUUUUCACAUACGGAUGAGCCGGAGUUAAAAAGAUUGAAAAUGUUCUACGUUGGCAAGUCUGAAGAGAAAGGAAGUUUUGGCAAAAAAGGAUCGCUACUCAGUACAAACUGUUACAACCACAUUUUGCAAAGCAAUAGGGCAUUAUGUAUCAAUCAAAAUUUAAGUGUGCAUCCCCUUUAAUGCAACAAUACCAUUUCUAGGCUUUUAUCUUAAGAAAACAAUAGGACAAGUAUAUAAAAAUACACAUACAAAGUUGUCCUUCCCAGCCACAAAAAUAGAAAUAACAGAAAAGUGCAACAUAGGAAAUUCAACACAGCACAGUUCAGCCAAAUACAACUUUUUAAAGCCAUGUGGCACUAGAAUUAUCAAAAGAAAAAUAGAUCCAUAGUACAUUUUUAGGUGUAAUGAGAAGGCCAGCUUUCAAACAUAAAGGAGUACAAGGGCGAGGGGUAUAGUUCAGUGGUAGAAUGCUUGCCUAGCAUGCAUGAGGUCCGUCAGUCCAAAGA
This 818-nucleotide long non-coding RNA is filed under the name Marmota monax (woodchuck). Lineage: Eukaryota; Metazoa; Chordata; Mammalia; Rodentia; Sciuridae. The record is from RNAcentral.